This 253-nucleotide ribosomal RNA is filed under the name uncultured bacterium. RNAcentral describes it as "partial 16S ribosomal RNA". It matches the Rfam family "Bacterial small subunit ribosomal RNA", at positions 524 to 776 of the family's 1533-position model. The record is from RNAcentral.
UACGUAGGGUGCAAGCGUUGUCCGGAAUUAUUGGGCGUAAAGGGCUCGUAGGCGGUCUGUUGCGUCGGGUGUGAAAACUCAGGGCUUAACCCUGAGCCUGCUUCCGAUACGGGCAGACUAGAGGUAUGCAGGGGAGAGCGGAAUUCCUGGUGUAGCGGUGAAAUGCGCAGAUAUCAGGAGGAACACCGGUGGCGAAGGCGGUUCUCUGGGCAUUACCUGACGCUGAGGAGCGAAAGUGUGGGGAGCGAACAGG